Molecule: long non-coding RNA, 231 nt
Filed under: Pan troglodytes (chimpanzee)
Lineage: Eukaryota; Metazoa; Chordata; Mammalia; Primates; Hominidae
Description: long non-coding RNA NONPTRT001311
Source: RNAcentral
GAGGAUAAGAACUAAAUGUGGUCCCAGACAAGAUCCUGGAACAGAAAAUGAACACUAAGGGAAAACUAAGGAAAUAUGAACAAGGAGAUUCCAUGAAAGGAGAAAGGCUGGCACAGCUGGUUGUUCUAUGGCCACGAGGAGAAGCAUGACAAGAGAGAAGAGAUGCCACUAGAUGAAAAGAACUCUGCAGAGAAGAGUGGAGGCCCAAACUGGGAAGUUAGGUGAGAGGAG